Colinus virginianus (northern bobwhite) is the source of this 128-nucleotide non-coding RNA. Lineage: Eukaryota; Metazoa; Chordata; Aves; Galliformes; Odontophoridae. The record is from Rfam.
AUGUUGUAUGAAAGAAGAAAAGGUUACCACUCCCCUUGAUGAGGAUGGAAGAUGCUUUAGUGGCCUGCACAAUGCACAUAAGAUUAAUGCACUGCCACCUACUUUAUGCCAUCUAAUUGCGUUUUUAA